RNAcentral lists this ribosomal RNA (253 nucleotides) under uncultured bacterium. Its description in RNAcentral is "partial 16S ribosomal RNA". It matches the Rfam family "Bacterial small subunit ribosomal RNA", at positions 524 to 776 of the family's 1533-position model. The record is from RNAcentral.
UACGUAGGGUGCGAGCGUUGUCCGGAAUUAUUGGGCGUAAAGAGCUCGUAGGCGGUUUGUCGCGUCGGCCGUGAAAUCUCCACGCUUAACGUGGAGCGUGCGGUCGAUACGGGCAGACUUGAGUUCGGCAGGGGAGACUGGAAUUCCUGGUGUAGCGGUGAAAUGCGCAGAUAUCAGGAGGAACACCGGUGGCGAAGGCGGGUCUCUGGGCCGAUACUGACGCUGAGGAGCGAAGGCGUGGGGAGCGAACGGG